UACGUAGGGGGCUAGCGUUGUCCGGAAUCAUUGGGCGUAAAGCGCGUGUAGGCGGCCCGGUAAGUCCGCUGUGAAAGUCGGGGGCUCAACCCUCGGAUGCCGGUGGAUACUGCCGGGCUAGAGGGUGGUAGAGGCGAGUGGAAUUCCCGGUGUAGCGGUGAAAUGCGCAGAUAUCGGGAGGAACACCAGUAGCGAAGGCGGCUCGCUGGGCCAUUCCUGACGCUGAGACGCGAAAGCUAGGGGAGCGAACAGG
RNAcentral lists this ribosomal RNA (253 nucleotides) under uncultured bacterium. RNAcentral's name for it is "partial 16S ribosomal RNA". It matches the Rfam family "Bacterial small subunit ribosomal RNA", at positions 524 to 776 of the family's 1533-position model. The record is from RNAcentral.